Unclassified non-coding RNA from Pongo abelii (Sumatran orangutan), 149 nucleotides. It matches the Rfam family "Metazoan signal recognition particle RNA". Rfam says of the family: The signal recognition particle (SRP) is a universally conserved ribonucleoprotein. It is involved in the co-translational targeting of proteins to membranes. The eukaryotic SRP consists of a 300-nucleotide 7S RNA and six proteins: SRPs 72, 68, 54, 19, 14, and 9. NCBI's taxonomy places the organism in Eukaryota, Metazoa, Chordata, Mammalia, Primates, Hominidae. The record is from Ensembl.
GCUAGGCGUGGUGGCGCACACCUGUAGUCCCAGCUACUCAGGAGGCUGAGGUGGGAGGAUCACCUGAGCCCAGGGAGGUUGAAGCUGCAGUGAGCCGUGAUUGCGCCACUGCACUCCAGCCUGGGCGACAGAGUGAGACCCUGUCUCAA